UUCAUGGAGAGUUUGAUCCUGGCUCAGGACGAACGCUGGCGGCGUGCCUAAUACAUGCAAGUCGAGCGGACCGACGGGAGCUUGCUCC
This 88-nucleotide ribosomal RNA is filed under the name Bacillus licheniformis. RNAcentral's name for it is "partial 16S ribosomal RNA". It matches the Rfam family "Bacterial small subunit ribosomal RNA", at positions 1 to 86 of the family's 1533-position model. RNAcentral also lists the same sequence under 3 other names. Lineage: Bacteria; Bacillati; Bacillota; Bacilli; Caryophanales; Bacillaceae. The record is from RNAcentral.